UGGUAUGAGACAUUAGUUUUAAUUACCUGGCGAAGGCAUAUGCUUGUGCCAAAGAGAGCUGCAAGUGUCCAAAUGUAGCACCAACCAUUGCAAUGAAACAUGGGUAGAGUCCAAAGAAAAACAGCUCCUUCAUUCAUUCCCCACAUAAGUGCUGCACUAAGAGACAUGAGAUACGCCCCACGGUGAUGUAAUACAACACCUUUCGGACUAGAAGUCGUUCCAGAUGUGUAACCUAAUGCAAUGCUCUGCCAUUCAUCCUCUGGAGGUUUCCAAUCGUACUCAGGGUCACCACUUUGAAGAAAGUCCUCGUAAUUGAUAGCUCCUUUGCUCAACGCAUAUCUAUGUGCGUUAGGGUCGCAGUUUUCAUCACCAAUCACAAUUAAAAUUGGAGGCUUGAAUGUGUUUGUUUUCUUAGAACAUAUUUUCAAAGCUUCUUCUGCUAAUAAAAAGAACUCUUGAUCUACAAUCACAACUGAUGCAGUACAAUGAUCUAUAAGAAAAGCUACUGUGGAAGCAUUUAGCCUAAUAUUCACUGUGUUCAACACAGACCCUGCCAUUGGAACCCCAAAAUGAGCUUCAUAAAGAGCUGGAACAUUAGGUGCAAUAACAGCUACCUUGUUUCCAAGACCAAUGGAGUAGUUGGAAAGAGCUGAAGCAAAUCGACAACAACGUUGGUAAGUUUGAUGCCAAGUGUAGUGACAUGAUCCAUGAAUGAGUGAUUUUCUGUUAGGAUGAACCUUAGCUGCUCUUUCUAAAAACCAUAACGGUGUUAAGGCUGUGUAGUUUGCUGUGUUCUUUGGCAGUUCAUCUAUGUCUUUUUUCAUCACCAUUGCUACCCUAACACUAACACUCUUGUGCUAUCUUUUGUUUG
RNAcentral lists this long non-coding RNA (871 nucleotides) under Medicago truncatula (barrel medic). Its description in RNAcentral is "lncRNA gene9584". Lineage: Eukaryota; Viridiplantae; Streptophyta; Magnoliopsida; Fabales; Fabaceae. The record is from RNAcentral.